Molecule: small nuclear RNA, 19 nt
Filed under: Arabidopsis thaliana (thale cress)
Lineage: Eukaryota; Viridiplantae; Streptophyta; Magnoliopsida; Brassicales; Brassicaceae
Description: snRNA_04251
Source: RNAcentral
GGGGCGAAAGACUAAUCGA